Long non-coding RNA from Lycium barbarum (goji berry), 2870 nucleotides. RefSeq lists it as uncharacterized. The record is from RefSeq and is a predicted model, not a curated record. The transcript is spliced from 7 exons. NCBI's taxonomy places the organism in Eukaryota, Viridiplantae, Streptophyta, Magnoliopsida, Solanales, Solanaceae.
UACCUAUGCUGUUUUAAAUUAUUUGUCAUGGUUAAUCAAAAUAAUUUUUUAAAAUUAGUUGUCAUUUUAAAAUUUGAAAGCAAAAUUAAUUAAUAUCUUCUAUUUUAUUUUUAGUAAAAUUUUAUUAUUAUUAAAGAUGACACACAUAAAUUGAGUAAAUAUUUAAUAAAGAGUAAUUAAAAUAGUGUAAACUUUCUCCUAAUUAAUAUUUCUGAAGGAGCCCGUAAAACAAAAUAAUUUGAGAUUGAAGGAGUAGUAAAUCCACUUUAUAUAUUAACCCAGAUAAUAAUCAGAUUGAGUAGUUGAUUAGAAGUAAGUGGAGGAUCAUAUAUUGAAGAUUGAAGUUAAACAAAAAAGUUCUCCACUAACUUCACAAUCCAAUUUAUUUAUUGACCCAGAUAAUCAAUUGAGUGUUUAAUUGGAAAUAAACGGAUGAUUAAAGAUUGAAGAAGGAAGAGAUGAUUGAAGUAAGCAGUGAUGCUUGUGCUUCAGAAGAUGAAGGUACAAAUGAUUAUCGACGUGGAGGUUAUCAGGCCGUUCGAUUAGGCGAUACUUUCAAAGGUGGAAGAUAUAUUGUACAUAGCAAAUUGGGUUAUUCAUCAAUUUGUAGCAUUAAAAGUACAAAAUAGCGCUCAGCACUACACGGAGGCAGCAUUGGACGAAAUCACAAUUUUAAAGCAGAUUGCGGAAGGUUAAAAAGUGUAGUGAAGUUACUGGAUCAUUUUAAGCACUCAGGUCCAAACGGUCAACAUGUGUGUACGGUUUUCGAGUAUUUAGGUGACAAUCUCUUGUCACUUAUUAAGUAUACUGAUUAUCGAGGACUGCCUAUUCACAUGGUUAAAGAGCUUUGUUUCCAUGUUCUAGUGGGUUUGGAUUAUUUGCAUAGACAGCUUUCCAUCAUACUGAUCUGAAACCCGAAAAUAUGCUACUCUGUUCCACGAUCGAUCCGUCUAAAGAUCCCAGAAAAUCAGGAGCAUCUCUUAUUCUUCCUAGUGAUACGGACAUGGCUUCACUCGACUUCGGGACUGUGAAGAGCCAUGAUCACCUAGCACUAAUGAUGGAGCUUCUAGGAACAAUGUCCCGGAAAGUAAGAGAAAGUACCUUUAACCACUUCAAACUUCUUACACUUGUCUGCAUCAGCCAUCCAGAGAUGCCAUGCGCCUCAGCAAAUUACGGCGCCUGGAUAUUGAUGGCUGCCCAGAGUUAGAAGAAAGUUGCAGCAAUCGGAGUGGCCCAAACUCCCAGUGGUCCAACAUUUCCCAUAUUCCAAAAAUUGAAGUAGGUGGGAGGAGAAUUCGGAACUUAGAACGUUGCUGUGGUAUAUCAAGUCAAAAUCCACAGGCUGCACUUUAGGGUUGGUUAUGUUCCACAGAAGAACCACCACGUUUGUUUUGUUGAAGAACUGACUCUUUCAUGAGCAUUUGGUACUAUGGUGAAGAUAAUAAAGGGUAUCCACAGACGGUGCCAUUGAAUUUUGUUGAUGAGCUAUUCAUGAUAUAAAGCUAGGAGUGCUGUGAUACAAAGAGAAAAUGUAUGUCCACUACUAGUUUCACCUUGCUUUCAUGCCAGCCAAUACUUAAAUUUGUGCGGAAGUAUGUGGUACGCCCAAGAACAAUUUCGUCGAUUUUACUUUUCAGCUCCUUUUUCUUAGGAGAUUGCUGUACUGUUUAACAGGGAUGCGUCUCUAGCAGUCUUCCUUGGGAUAGGAAAGUGAAGUAUUUGGUCGGCAUGACAUUGGCUUGUCAUGAUUGGAAAAAUGUAGAGAGGGGAAAACUGACCCUUUGGCAUGUGAAUGGAACAUAUUCUGUGGUAUAUUAUUGAUGGAUUGGUGAAACGGUAGAGGUAACUAAGACAUUUCAUAGUCUCACGCUCUCAACAGACCCUUAGUGGCAGAGCUAACCGGUACCUAUGAAUAAUCGAGGUGCGCAAGCUGGCUCGGACACCACUGUUAUUAAAAAAGAAAAAGCUAAGCAAUUUCACAUAAUCCACUUACAUGGUACUCUUAGAUGCGAGACACAUUCAUUUUGGACCAAAAUGUGACUUUUAGUGAUAGUGGAGGCAUCUCAAGUUUGUGGAGUGUCUUUAACAAUAUUUAUUUUACCUAUUUAAUUUCCAGGAGACAGAUUGGAACAUUUUGCACAGUGGUGCUUUUGGAGACUGUGAUUGCUCACAGCUGGAAAAUUCAAAUUCAUGCUUGAAACACCAGCACGGACCUUGUCAAAAUGCUAGGCUGGAAAAGACUUCCGUUAGAUGUGUUUCAGUGUCAUGAUUGGCAAAGGAAAUUGCAUUUCGUAAACUCGUUUGCAUUUGGCUGAAACUGGAUUGGAGAUAUUAUUUCUUUGUAUGUGGAAAAUUCACUGGUACAUUUCUCUGCCAUGGCUGUAUGCUAUAAAGUUUAUUGAGGUUGUUACAAUUUUAUGCCGAAGGACUAGAAAGCCAUUCAUCCGAAGUACGUAAUGGACUACCAUCGACUAGUGCAAUCGUGCAUUAGUCCUUGAAACCUAAGCUUGAUCGUUCCAACGUGGUGCUGAGCUUGAACGUAAUCCCGUAUUUGUCUUAAUGGAUUGAUGUUGUAUGCUAAUAAUAUUCCUUUCAAAAUACGAUGAAAUUCAUUUAUUGCAUUACUCAACUAUGUAUGAAAUUGUGUAACUGUUAAAAUAUCAGUUUUCUAAGGGAAUAUGUUGGUUUGCAAGCAGAUUUAGGAUGUAAGCUGUUAGGACGAGUCUACAUUAGUUUCAGUCAAUUUGGUGCUUUCACUCCUUAUAAUUCUUCUUCAUUUUUUCUUUUGCCAGAACUUCAGUCCAUGUAAUUAUAUUCAUAGGAACGUUUAUUGCAUUCUCACAAAUAUUUAAACUUUACCUAGUUUCUAG